Molecule: ribosomal RNA, 468 nt
Filed under: uncultured bacterium
Lineage: Bacteria
Description: partial 16S ribosomal RNA
Rfam family: Bacterial small subunit ribosomal RNA
Source: RNAcentral
GACGAACGCUGGCGGCGUGCUUAACACAUGCAAGUCGAACGGAAAGGCCCUGCUUUUGUGGGGUGCUCGAGUGGCGAACGGGUGAGUAACACGUGAGUAACCUGCCCUUGACUUUGGGAUAACUUCAGGAAACUGGGGCUAAUACCGGAUAGGAGCUCCUGCUGCAUGGUGGGGGUUGGAAAGUUUCGGCGGUUGGGGAUGGACUCGCGGCUUAUCAGCUUGUUGGUGGGGUAGUGGCUUACCAAGGCUUUGACGGGUAGCCGGCCUGAGAGGGUGACCGGCCACAUUGGGACUGAGAUACGACCCAGACUCCUACAGGAGGCAGCAGUGCAGAAUAUUACACAAUGGGCGGAAGCCUGAUGCAGCAACGCCGCGUGCGGGAUGACGGCCUUCGGGUUGUAAACCGCUUUCGCCUGUGACGAAGCGUGAGUGACGGUAAUGGGUAAAGAAGCACCGGCUAACUACGUG